RNAcentral lists this unclassified non-coding RNA (239 nucleotides) under Poaceascoma helicoides. RNAcentral describes it as "partial internal transcribed spacer region". The stretch from base 1 to 46 matches the Rfam family "Eukaryotic small subunit ribosomal RNA", at positions 1786 to 1831 of the family's 1831-position model. Lineage: Eukaryota; Fungi; Ascomycota; Dothideomycetes; Pleosporales; Lentitheciaceae. RNAcentral also lists the same sequence under 1 other name. The record is from RNAcentral.
AAGUCGUAACAAGGUUUCCGUAGGUGAACCUGCGGAAGGAUCAUUACAAGAAUCGAGGCUGACGGUGCCUACUCUGUAGGCUCCGUCCAGUCCCGCUCUCUACCUUGCCUACUGCACCGUUUGUUGCUUCCUGGCGGCGGCGUCCCGUCGCCAGGGCCUUUUGAAAGCCAAGUAUAAGCAUUGAAACUUCUGACAUACACUAAAUCGUACAACUUUCAACAAUGGAUCUCUUGGUUCUG